RNAcentral lists this ribosomal RNA (492 nucleotides) under uncultured bacterium. RNAcentral describes it as "partial 16S ribosomal RNA". It matches the Rfam family "Bacterial small subunit ribosomal RNA", at positions 29 to 507 of the family's 1533-position model. The record is from RNAcentral.
AGUGAACGCUGGCGGUAGGCUUAACACAUGCCAGUCGAACGGCAGCACAGUAAGAGCUUGCUCUUACGGGUGGCGAGUGGCGGACGGGUGAGGAAUACAUCGGAAUCUACUUUUUCGUGGGGGAUAACGUAGGGAAACUUACGCUAAUACCGCAUACGACCUACGGGUGAAAGCAGGGGAUCUUCGGACCUUGCGCGAUUGAAUGAGCCGAUGUCGGAUUAGCUAGUUGGCGGGGUAAAGGCCCACCAAGGCGACGAUCCGUAGCUGGUCUGAGAGGAUGAUCAGCCACACUGGAACUGAGACACGGUCCAGACUCCUACGGGAGGCAGCAGUGGGGAAUAUUGGACAAUGGGCGCAAGCCUGAUCCAGCCAUACCGCGUGGGUGAAGAAGGCCUUCGGGUUGUAAAGCCCUUUUGUUGGGAAAGAAAAGCAGCAGGUUAAUACCCCGCUGUUCUGACGGUACCCAAAGAAUAAGCACCGGCUAACUCCGUG